RNAcentral lists this transfer RNA (75 nucleotides) under Ipomoea nil (Japanese morning glory). It matches the Rfam family "tRNA". From Rfam's summary of the family: Transfer RNA (tRNA) molecules are approximately 80 nucleotides in length. Their secondary structure includes four short double-helical elements and three loops (D, anti-codon, and T loops). The record is from Rfam by way of RNAcentral. Lineage: Eukaryota; Viridiplantae; Streptophyta; Magnoliopsida; Solanales; Convolvulaceae.
ACUCUUGUAGCUCAGUUGGUUAGAGCACCUGUUUAGUAAGCGGGAGGAAUUUGAGUUCAACUCUCAACAAGAGCA